Molecule: transfer RNA, 85 nt
Filed under: Tilletia horrida
Lineage: Eukaryota; Fungi; Basidiomycota; Exobasidiomycetes; Tilletiales; Tilletiaceae
Description: tRNA-Thr
Source: RNAcentral
GCCUCAUUAGCACAGUGGUAGUUGCGCCUGCCUAGUAUGUCAACCCGAGAGCAGGAGGUCGCUUGUUCGAUCCAGGCAUGAGGCA